CCUUGGAAUUUUUCAAAUGUCAAAGGGGCAAUCCCUGCACUAUGAUUACUGUAUGAUCUGCACAGUAUGAUCCCUGCAGUUGGAAAAAGAACAUUUUUAAAGACCAAGGUGGCUCCAGAUGUUUUCAAGGCAGCAUCCAGAAGAAAGUUUCAUUUAAAGAAGCAGAAAAUAAAUGAAACCUGGGAUAAUUCAGAAUGAGAGAGCAAAGCAAACACAACCACAGAAGAGGUCAUGCUCCACUCUACUUUUUAUCUUGCCAGCUGAAGAAUAGCACUUCAUGUUGACUUUCAUCUCCUUGGGAUUGCAGCUACAUCUGUGUGGUCAGGUUGGUGCCAUUGUAAAUCUAGAAGUGAGUGGCUGCAUCUUCACACUGUGGAAAACAUGAAACCACUCCUAGUUCUGGUACUUGUCUAAAGGCAGCUUCAGCUCCAUCAAUACGGCUCUGUUCCAUCAGGCUCAACCCGGAUGUGAGAAUACAAGUUUUUGCAGCUACUUGGCAAGGCUAGGUUAACAACCAAGGGUCUGGUUCAGAAACUGUACUGCCACAUAAUUUGGGCACUGUAUCAUGAUAUCCGGCUCUGCCUAAUGGGCUAUACCAGUUCAAGUUCCACAUUAUGUGCAUUUUGGGGAUUCUCAGAAUUCAUCCUAUAUUUCUCUGGCCACUAUGCUGCAUGGCCUAACCUGUUCACCUGGGUACAGCAGAAUCUGUACUCCAGAUUUCUGAUGCAGUGAAGUUUGGGCAACAUUUUCUGCCUGUCCAAUCUUUCAUGUCCUACUUAAUAAACUUUGAAUCCUUUGUUAUGUUUGAAGUAAGACAGACGUAGAGACUUCUCAAACACAUAAAGAUCCUAGAUGUUUUCUGGAGCAGAAAACUGAAAUCAUCUGAACAGAGACACUCUCAUAUUAUUGCCAGCGAAGGAGGCCUCUGAUGUCAGUGACAACUUAAUUUUAUGAUAGACAUCUUAAAAUUUGCAUAUAUGUAGAGUAAGAUGAUAAAGAUUUGGCAAGAUGAUAAAGCUUGGUCUUGAUCUCACUUCAUGUCAGGAAGAACAAUUUUGUUCUUUGAGCAA
Non-coding RNA from Meleagris gallopavo (turkey), 1070 nucleotides. Lineage: Eukaryota; Metazoa; Chordata; Aves; Galliformes; Phasianidae. The record is from RefSeq and is a predicted model, not a curated record.